Molecule: unclassified non-coding RNA, 342 nt
Filed under: soil metagenome
Description: partial contains 5.8S ribosomal RNA, internal transcribed spacer 2, and large subunit ribosomal RNA
Rfam family: 5.8S ribosomal RNA (bases 1-119)
Source: RNAcentral
GAUGAAGAACGUAGCGAAAUGCGAUACGUAAUGUGAAUUGCAAAUUCAGUGAAUCAUCGAAUCUUUGAACGCACAUUGCGCCCGCCAGCAUUCUGGCGGGCAUGCCUGUUCGAGCGUCAUUUCAACCCUCGACCUCCCUUUGGGGAAGUCGGCGUUGGGGACCGGCAGCACACCGCCGGCCCUGAAAUGGAGUGGCGGCCCGUCCGCGGCGACCUCUGCGUAGUAAUCCAACUCGCACCGGAACCCCGACGCGGCCACGCCGUAAAACACCCAACUUCUGAACGUUGACCUCGAAUCAGGUAGGACUACCCGCUGAACUUAAGCAUAUCAAUAAGCGGAGGA